Long non-coding RNA from Pseudonaja textilis, 2226 nucleotides. The record is from Ensembl. NCBI's taxonomy places the organism in Eukaryota, Metazoa, Chordata, Lepidosauria, Squamata, Elapidae.
AAAGACUAUCCACAGAACAAAAGUAUAACUAAAGAAAAUAUGAAUCAGUUUUCUCAAAAAAGAGAAAAAGUACAAAUUCAUGUAUCAAAACAAAUUUUGCAAUUGACUAUUGACAGUCAACCAGACAGCAAAAAGAUGCAAACAACUGAAAAAUACCCAAAUAACUUAAAGAAGCAAGGGUUAUCUCCAUUCACUGCAGGUCAAGAACUGCUUCAAUGUGAAAAAGAAUUUUAUGGACAUGUCAAACAUAAUUUGAAUUUUGUCACACACAGUGUGGAAAAGAAAUACUUUCAGGAUCCACAGAUGCAGACAGGUAAAAGAAGCAAUGAAGUAAACAGUUCAGAAAUAAUAGAAAAAUAUGAUGAUAGUGCUCAACAUUGUGAUGUUCCUUCAGUACCAAAAACGAUUGAAAAUUAUGCUCCCCAAGAACAAACUAUCCCACAUUAUUCUGAUUCUCAUACCUUUUCUAAGAAAAAUAUACAUUUACUACCCAUGUAUAAAAGUCUAAUCUAUUCAAAAGAAGGUAAAAAAGAAUUUAAAAGUAAACAAAAGAUUUUAGCUUCUCAUGUUGAUCAAUCAGAUAGGGAAAAAAGCAUUAUAACCAGUACAAGGCCUGAUAGAAAGCAUAUCAACCAGGCAGAAUAUACCACAAAAACAUAUUUAGCACCUAAUUUAGAAAACAAGUUUAAACUUUUAAGUCAACGUAAGAAACAAGAUGGCAUUUUAAAUACUGGAGAUACCGAACUUGAAUUUCAGCAAGAAAUAGUACCACUAAUGUUAUCUGUACCAGUAGUAGUAUCUCAGAAGAAAACUAAACACAGUUUAAUCGCUGACUAUCAUAAUUUACUUCUUAAAAAGCAUGGUUUAGUAGACACUGUUGCCAGUGAAGAUCUUCUUGUGCAACAUUUAGACAUUCAGAGGGAAGAUUCCAAAUCAGAUCGUACUAUUAAUCCUAGCAAAUUUUCCUCAGAUGAGAUCUCCCAUCAUCUUGAGUCUAUAAAUCAUAUUAUGGAUUGCACCCCUAUGUACACAAAAGGUAGUUUAAACACACACCAUUUAGUUUUUGAUGCUGAUAAUGAAAUAUUUACAGAAGACAAAACAGUUUGUUUUAAAAAUUUAAACUAUGUACCUAAACUAUUUACUUAUGGGCAUGAAAAAGUUAAGCCAGAAAAGGGCCAGGAAGAUAAGAAAAGUGAGAAAAAUAGGAACAAAAAUGCGAGAAAUUUUAAUAUAUGGCAAAGUGUUAUAAGCAAUAUUUUUGAUAAAACUUCAUAUUAUUUUGGAAAGAUAUAUCAAAAAACUAAUGAUAAUGAUAAUUUCACAAAACAUAAAAUUAAUAAAAAUAUGAAAGCAGAGAGAUAUAAGGCUAAGUCUGCCCAUGAACAAACAAAAUAUGAAUGUCAAGAUGUGAAUGUUUUUUAUUCUUUUAAUAAUAAAGUAAUGCAAUGGAAAAAAUAUGUUACUGCAGAUUCAGAAAAUGGUGACAGAAACACUGUCAGACUCCGAAUUCUGGAAAAAGAGUCUGUUUUCCAAAAUGCAAUUCAAAAUGGUAAAUUGAUAACAAAUACAGGCUUAGACUGGAAAGAUGCCAGUUCCUCCUUAAGAGUCCAGGAAUUUAAUUUAAAGCUAGUUGAGGAAUCAAGAAAGAUUAUUCAAGCAAAUAUUUGUGUAGAUGAAUUGCAGCAACUGCAGAAAGAGUUUGAAAAGCUUCAGUACAACUUCUCCAUUUCUCCAUGUGAAGAUAUUUACAAGAAAAGAAAACAAGCAACAACUUUGGUGGAACAUAGAUGUAAAUUAAAUAUUGGACACAAGAAGUGUAUGAAGACCAAAAUGCAUUUACUGCCAGAAGUCCAAGGUCUAAUGUGGGAAAUCAGAAACAACUGUGGAAGCCAAAAGACAGAAUCAGAUAAUGGGAAAUUACCUGCCAAUGAUCUCAAAGAAAAAAAUCCUUUGAAUUCAAAUAAGAAAGCUAAGAAUGACCAGUAUUCUGAAAAAAAAACACCUCCCACAAAUACUAAGAAAAAGCCAAAUGCUUCAGGAAAAAAAUAUCUAGACCAACAGGACAUCAAAGAAGUACAAGAGAACAAUCUAAUGAAUCAAAGUUGUAUCAUUAGUAAUGAAAAUGAAUGGCUACUUCACUUAACCCUGGAUUUGAAUACAUUCUGUGCCACUGUAACUUCUAUUUUUUCAUCUAUGAUACCUAUAGGUAAAAAGGUAAGUUUCUUC